Molecule: long non-coding RNA, 1486 nt
Filed under: Homo sapiens (human)
Lineage: Eukaryota; Metazoa; Chordata; Mammalia; Primates; Hominidae
Description: HSALNT0365280
Source: RNAcentral
CCCACGCUGUUGGGGCGGGGGCGGGGGGGGGGUUGUUCUUUUGCUCCUUGGGUCCACACUGCGUUUAUGAGCUGUAAUAUUCACCGCAAAGGUCUGCAGCUUCACUACUAAGCCAACGAGACCACAAACCCACCAGGAGGAACGACAAUUCCAGACGCGUGGCUUUAACAGCUGUUAACACUCACCGCGAAGGUCUGUAGCUUCAUUUCUGAGUCAGCGAGACCACGAACCCACCAGAAAGAAGAAACUCCGAACACACCCGAACCUCAGAAGGAACAAAUUCCGGACACGCCGCCUUUAAGAACUGUAACACUCACCACAAGGGUCCGCGGCUUCAUUCUUGAAGUCAGUGAGACCAAGAACCCACUAAUUCCGGACACACUUUGACCAGCAGAGCAGGCAGAAGUAAAGCCACGGUUCACAGAAGUGGUGAGGGGAAUACGUGGGUCCUAGGCGGACGCUGUCUAUAUCUGGUACAGGGGCAAAAGCACAGAGGUGUUCUCCAAUUGCCCCAAGCCCCGCAGGAGCAGGCACAGAGGGAAGUGAGGGCUUCCAGUCCCCUGGGCCCCUAAUUUCUGAAUAGUUCCCCGAUCCCCCACCUCACGCUCUUCCUGAUGUCUGGUCUUUUUCUGGUUCCGUGUCUAGGCUGCCCCGGCUGGACACAGGCUCAAUCUUGCUGGAAUCUGUCCUCUUACUCCCCUACCCCAGCCCAGUGCCCCACCAGCGUGCUCCACUCAGCAUCCUGAUUUUCCCUGGAAUGUGCCACUUUGCCACCAUUUCCCUUUCAACAGAUGGAAUAUAGCAAGUUCGCUUUCUGUAUCAAUCAUGUCACAAAUCAUUAAGCAUAUCGACAUCAAGCAGAGCCAGCCUGUGUAGUCGCAAAGGGGUCGGGUGUUCUUCCACUGCCGAGCAGGCAGGUGCCACUACCUCGUCCUCAACUGUCAGGAGUCCCACCCACUUGGGGGCCCCAAGCCAGCGGCCCCAACCUGCUCUUAGCUCCACAGGGUAGCACGGAGGUCAUGUGAUUUAUCUGGAUCCUCUGCAGGAACCCUUCCCCAGACCACAGCUUUAACAGCCGAUCUUCAGAAGCCAGAGACAGGAGGUCCUGACAAAGGGCAGUCCAGCUCUGCAUUCAUCUAACAGCAAAAGCUGGUUGCACAGCCACCCAGGGCUUCCACAGCCUCCCCCAACGCCAGUGCCCUGGGUCCAAGAGCAGAAUCUCAGUGUUCCUGCAGAAGUCACCAUGGAAGAAUAAUCGUGUUGUGAUUUUGAAAGGAAAUUGAAAUCCCCUCUUUACUGCUUUCUAAAUGAACCUUAUAAUUUUCUCCCUGUCUACAACCUCCCUGUGCACUGGCUUCUCUGUAUCUGUGUGCAUAUUUGUGCGAGAGAGAGUGAGCUCAGUUCUAGCAAGUAGGGCCUCUGGUGGAUCCGCGGGAAGGACCCGUCACCCAGCAGGAUGGAGUGUGAGCUCUGUGGCCAGGAGUCA